AGUUGUUGCAGUUAAAAAGCUCGUAGUUGAACCUUGGGCCUGGUUGGCCGGUCCGCCUCACCGCGUGCACUGGUCCGACCGGGUCUUUCCUUCUGGGGAGCCGCAUGCCCUUCACUGGGUGUGUCGGGGAACCAGGACUUUUACUUUGAAAAAAUUAGAGUGUUCAAAGCAGGCCUAUGCUCGAAUACAUUAGCAUGGAAUAAUAGAAUAGGACGUGUGGUUCUAUUUUGUUGGUUUCUAGGACCGCCGUAAUGAUUAAUAGGGAUAGUCGGGGGCAUCAGUAUUCAAUUGUCAGAGGUGAAAUUCUUGGAUUUAUUGAAGACUAACUACUGCGAAAGCAUUUGCCAAGGAUGUUUUCAUUAAUCAGUGAACGAAAGUUAGGGGAUCGAAGACGAUUAA
RNAcentral lists this ribosomal RNA (399 nucleotides) under Ciboria viridifusca. Its description in RNAcentral is "SSU rRNA". It matches the Rfam family "Eukaryotic small subunit ribosomal RNA", at positions 608 to 1011 of the family's 1831-position model. Lineage: Eukaryota; Fungi; Ascomycota; Leotiomycetes; Helotiales; Sclerotiniaceae. The record is from RNAcentral.